CGGGAUGUAAUUCAGCGGUCUAGAAGCCUUGGUUUGGGACCAAGGAGUCGUGGGUUCAAAUCCUACCAUCCCGACCA
Molecule: transfer RNA, 77 nt
Filed under: Leptolyngbya sp.
Lineage: Bacteria; Bacillati; Cyanobacteriota; Cyanophyceae; Leptolyngbyales; Leptolyngbyaceae
Also listed under: 3 other names
Description: tRNA-Pro
Rfam family: tRNA
About the family: Transfer RNA (tRNA) molecules are approximately 80 nucleotides in length. Their secondary structure includes four short double-helical elements and three loops (D, anti-codon, and T loops).
Source: RNAcentral